Long non-coding RNA from Chinchilla lanigera (long-tailed chinchilla), 1692 nucleotides. The record is from Ensembl. Lineage: Eukaryota; Metazoa; Chordata; Mammalia; Rodentia; Chinchillidae.
AGCACACAGGAAGGAUCAGAAUGCGACCAUUUAUGACAUCAUCCCAACUUUAAGGUGAUGGACGACACAUCCAUUUGGUGGAGCUAUUUGGAGACUAUUUCAUGUUCCAGUCAUUAGACCUGUGAAAUGAGCGCAGGCUUGGCAUCGAACGGGUACAGAAAAGAAGUCGUAUCUGUAGGCUGUGGUAGUCGGGCUUCACAACGGCGCCAUCAUGAUCCGGGUCUUCUGCAACUCAGACCUUUGAACGGCCUCUCUCCAGAGCGAACCAGGGUGGCUCCUUGAUACAGAAGUCACUAAAGAAAUCUGUGGAGAGGACCUGAGGCCUCCCAUCGAGAAAGCAACAGAGGACAGCAUCUUUGGUGCCCUUCUGCGUCCAUCCCACGUGAGGCUCCAAUCAAUGGCUGCUCAGCCACUUUGCUGCCAAAUUCCUGGCCCGUAAACACUGGGGGAGUUGUCAACUGCUUAUGGCCGAACCACGAGGUCUCAGGGUGAUUGGUGAUGCAACAAUCAAUACCUAAUAAAAAGGCAUCCAGAUGUUCAUCCAUUUGUUGGACGGGUAAUUUUUCAACAUCUUUGCACCAGGGGCUGGAUUGAUAUGACCAUGGACUCUGACAAAGAGCACAGGAGGAGAGAGACAGAGCUGGGAAGACAGCUCAGCGCAGUGCCUUUCCUCGCAAGCUGACUUGUUCUCAGCUUCAGUCUGAGGAAAGACCUGACUCUUGUUCCCACCAGUAGCUGAGUUCCUUCCCUCCAUACCUGCGUGCAGAACCUCAGCCACUGGUUUAAGCAGUAGGCAUGAUUAGCUCAUGAAACUAGGCGGCGUGGGUCCCGUUCAGUGCUAAAUAUGUCUUACCGCACAUAAUCUGCAAGUGCCUCUGUGGAAGAGCACUGAUAUUCCGGUUUUACAGAGUGAGAAAACGGAUGCUCAUAGAAGUAAAAGAAUGGUUGACUCUUGUGGUCAGACGGUAUAAUCCAGAACCUCUCUCUCCAAAGCUGGGCUCGUUUGUCUCCAUUGGUUUCAGACUCAGGUAGGCUUUCCCUCAGGAGUGCAGCCCCAGGAGUGCAAACUACCAACCUCGUACUCCUCACCACACUAGCGUAUCUCCUUGCAAAUAGUUCCUAAAAUUGUCCUGGAGCUGACAUCCAUUAGCUCUGGUCACCAUCCUACUCUGUCACAUGUCCACUCAACACAAAGGUGGUAGAGUGACCCCAAAUGAACUGCACUUACUGAGGGUAAGGGAAGGGUGGAUUCCUGAAAGAAUUCCCAGCUUUUAAUGCCAGGACAAAGGACAGCAAGUAAAUAACUGAUGUUCCCCGGAACCUUCUCUCUCUGCUGCCUUAAAUAAAAAGUGCCCAGUGGGAGAGGGUAGGAAAAAGAACUAAUGAAGUCAGCUUGGAUCAGAUAGAGUCUUGAAUCCAUUCUCUCAUUACCUAAAAGCUUAUUCAUAAGCCUGUACAUAAAUCUGUUAGCCUGAGGAGUAAAUGCAAUAGACAGUUGGGGCUGGCUUGUCCUGAUGUACAAAAGCCAAUUACAAUUUCCGGAAUUUUUCAAGAGGAUUGCAAAACAUAGCCACUCUUAAAAAAAAAAAAAAAAAAAAAAACAUAGCCACUCUUUAAAUGAGCAAGUUAAAUUUAAAAUUAAACUAUAUAUACUAAAGGCAAUAAGUAGGACUUUAAUAAUUAGUUUAAUAA